RNAcentral lists this ribosomal RNA (374 nucleotides) under Dichromacalles fernandezi. RNAcentral's name for it is "eukaryotic LSU rRNA". It matches the Rfam family "Eukaryotic large subunit ribosomal RNA", at positions 1340 to 1663 of the family's 3401-position model. The record is from RNAcentral. Lineage: Eukaryota; Metazoa; Arthropoda; Insecta; Coleoptera; Curculionidae.
GCUUAUACUCGACCGUCAGCGGCACGUGCGAUCGCCCGUGAGGGCGGUCACGAAGCCCUGACGAGUAGGAGGGUCGCGGCGGUGAGCGCAGAAGGGCUGGCCGCGAGGCCGUCUGGAGCCGCCGUCGGUGCAGAUCUUGGUGGUAGUAGCAAAUACUCCAGCGAGGCCCUGGAGGACUGACGUGGAGAAGGGUUUCGUGUGAACAGCCGUUGCACACGAGUCAGUCGAUCCUAAGCCCUAGGCGAAAGCCGAUGUCGAUGCGGUGUAGUUUUUACCAAAUAUAUUUAUAUAUAGAGCGAGAACACACCCGUCGGGCGAAAGGGAAUCCGGUUCCUAUUCCGGAACCUGGCAGCGGAACCGUCAAUAAGUCGGGC